Small nuclear RNA from Ictidomys tridecemlineatus (thirteen-lined ground squirrel), 106 nucleotides. Lineage: Eukaryota; Metazoa; Chordata; Mammalia; Rodentia; Sciuridae. The record is from Ensembl.
GUGCUACCUUAGGCAGCACAUGUACUAAAAUUUGAAUGUUUCAGAGAAAAUUAGCAUGCCUCCUGCACAAGGAUGAUAUGCACAUUCAUGAAGCUUCCAUAUUUCU